UACGUAGGGGGCUAGCGUUGUCCGGAAUCAUUGGGCGUAAAGAGCGUGUAGGCGGUCCGGUAAGUCCGCUGUGAAAGUCGGGGGCUCAACCCUCGAAUGCCGGUGGAUACUGUCGGGCUAGAGUGCGGAAGAGGCGAGUGGAAUUCCUGGUGUAGCGGUGAAAUGCGCAGAUAUCAGGAGGAACACCUAUUGCGAAGGCAGCUCGCUGGGACGUUACUGACGCUGAGGAGCGAAAGCGUGGGGAGCGAACAGG
Molecule: ribosomal RNA, 253 nt
Filed under: uncultured bacterium
Lineage: Bacteria
Description: partial 16S ribosomal RNA
Rfam family: Bacterial small subunit ribosomal RNA
Source: RNAcentral